This 429-nucleotide ribosomal RNA is filed under the name Chloroflexota bacterium. RNAcentral's name for it is "Chloroflexi bacterium partial 16S ribosomal RNA". It matches the Rfam family "Bacterial small subunit ribosomal RNA", at positions 355 to 776 of the family's 1533-position model. Lineage: Bacteria; Bacillati; Chloroflexota. The record is from RNAcentral.
UGGGGAAUAUUGCACAAUGGGCGCAAGCCUGAUGCAGCCAUGCCGCGUGUAUGAAGAAGGCCCUCGGGUUGUAAAGUACUUUCAGCGGGGAGGAAGGGAGUAAAGUUAAUACCUUUGCUCUGUGACGAUACCCGCAGAAGAAGCACCGGCUAACUCCGUGCCAGCAGCCGCGGUAAUACGGAGGGUGCAAGCGUAAAUCGGAAUUACUGGGCGUAAAGCGCACGCAGGCGGUUUGUUAAGUCAGAUGUGAAAUCCCCGGGCUCAACCUGGGAAAUGCGUCUGAUACUCGCAAGCGUGAGUCUCGUGGAGGGGGGUAGAAUUCCAGGUGUAGCGGUGAGAUGCGUAGAGAUCUGGAGGAAUACCGGUGGCGAAGACGGCCCCCUGGACGAAGACUGACGCUCUGGUGCGAAAGCGUGGGGAGCAAACAGG